AUAUGUGCCAUUAGGAUUGAAUAUGAGAUUUAAUUGUGUGAUUGGAUUAAAUUUGGAUUGAUCUAAAGCUGUUUGGGUGCCAUAUGUGUGGCGGCAUGUAUGUUGAGGUGCAUCAUGGGUGGCGGUAUGAAUGUGAUUCACACCCUAAGGGUGCGAUUUGUUUUGGGCUUGGGUUUUUGGAUUUCUUUAUGCAAUUGUUGUAUAUCUUAAGACUCAUAAUUAGGCCCAUACUUAAUUAAAUUAUUUAAUUAUAAAUUUUAAUCACACAAUUAAUUAUUGAAAAAUAUUUUCAAGGUAUUAAAUUUGGAAAGGGUUUCUAAAUUUAAGUUGAUUUGAAUGAGAUUCAAAUUUGAAUUUUUUUGUUGAAUAUAUGAUAUUCAAUUUAAUUUUUUAGUAUG
Molecule: unclassified non-coding RNA, 398 nt
Filed under: Hevea brasiliensis (rubber tree)
Lineage: Eukaryota; Viridiplantae; Streptophyta; Magnoliopsida; Malpighiales; Euphorbiaceae
Source: RNAcentral